AGGAACAGCAGCCCAGGGACCUGAGACCAGCGUUCUCAAAUGAAGCCAGAUCUGCUGUUAGAGGAGAAUUCUUCUGUCCUAGCUGUGUCUCUGUGAUCUGUGGAUGAGGGUGGGAAAGCACCACUCAGUCAAUUGGGGUGUACAAAAUGGAGUUUGAGAAGGUCUCACAUCCAGGUUGUUUUGAAGCAAAGUCCAAGCAUUGUAUCACUUCAUCUGCAAAUAUUUCAAUAAGUACCCAAAAGUGGUUGGACUGAGUCCCAUGAAGCCAGAUCACUUCUGACUGCAAGGAGCUUGGAAAAGCAAGUAUCUGGAUCUUUUACCAGCUAAAUUUGGAGAAUUAUUGAUCAAAUUUGGAUCUCUGUGUGCUGUCCUCCAAUUUAAUACUUUCUGUGUUGCUGUUUUAUUUUCUUUCUUCUGGAACCUGGCAAAGUGCGUCAAGCGAUGAGGCUUCCUCUUUGAAGAUCACAGGUGAGAAGAUUAGGUGCUUUCUCAGAAGCCCAGCAACCUGAUGGGAGUGUGGAGUGAGCAAGACCCAAAUCGGAGCUUCAUCCCUGCAUGGUUCAUUUUGCUUAUUUGGCAAACUUGCCCUGCAGGCAUCCAAUGGCAUUACACCUCAGCCAGAGAAGAAGCUCUUAAGAGAUCAGGUGCCUCAUUUCACCCAUGGGCUGCUCCAGCAUUUCCAGCCUCCUCACUCCUGACACAUACAGAUUGAGAAAUUAAGGUCGCAUCAUAUAAGUGAAGUUGAACACUACUUUUCUAAUACCCUACAUCAGGUACGUUCCUAAAUAAACUGGAACUUACCUCAGAAGCCUCAGAAAAUUAGGAAAAUAAAAUGCAUUACUUUGUAUAUUAAGAAGCUCAAAAUCCCAUAUUUGAUUCACUAUAGAAUUACUUCAGAAUCUCAUAUGUUGUUUAAGCAAAACCUGUCUCAUAUUAAAACAUACCUACUGCUGUGUUGUCUAUUUGCUUUUCUCUUUUUAAAUGCCCUUUUGAGAAAUGCUGCAAAAAUUUUGUCCUGACAUGUGGGGGCCCAACUGUUUCCUGCUAUACUCAGCUUGGAGGACAUAGCCUCUAGGUUAUACUCUUUUGAAAUUGUCCUGUUGAAAUGCAUGUUUUGAUUUUGGGAUUUUCCAGAUGCUUCCUAAGUAGGUCCCAUGUGUUAAAACUUGUGGAAAUUCAGCAUGUUUCUCAAUGUGAGGCAUCUAAGUAGUUCACAAAUUUAAGGCAAUUAGUCUAUUACUGGGAUAAGACGAUUAAUUCUAUUAUAUUCCAUUGUUUACAUAUUACUUGUUUAAUCCAUUUCCUAUUCUAUGCUUUGUUUUUUCAUUUGUCUGAAUUAUUAAAAGUCACUACAUUUUAACAUUUUAAGCAAUUUAAUUUUUAUAUAUAAUUAUAUCCUUUGGCUAUUUAAACUGAAGACACAUUGUAUAUGUAAAUCAAAUUAAGAAAAAUAAAUGGAGAGUGUGUUCACUUACAA
Long non-coding RNA from Homo sapiens (human), 1477 nucleotides. Ensembl annotates it as long intergenic non-protein coding RNA 1091. The record is from Ensembl. NCBI's taxonomy places the organism in Eukaryota, Metazoa, Chordata, Mammalia, Primates, Hominidae.